Molecule: ribosomal RNA, 896 nt
Filed under: uncultured archaeon
Lineage: Archaea
Description: bacterial SSU rRNA
Rfam family: Archaeal small subunit ribosomal RNA
Source: RNAcentral
UUCCGGUUGAUCCUGCCGGACCUUACUGCUAUCGGGGUGGGACUAAGACAUGCGAGUCGAGCGUCUCUAGCUAUGUUGAGACGCGGCAGACGGCUCAGUAACACGUGGCUAACCUACCUUCAGGACGAGUACAAACCCGGGAAACUGGGGCUAAUACUCGAUAGGUGAGGAUGUCUGGAAUGACUUCUCUCCCAAAGGGCUUGGAUACAUGCUUUCAAGUCGCCUGGGGAUGGGGCCGCGUCCGAUCAGGUUGUUGGUGAGGUAAUGGCUCACCAAGCCUAUAACCGGUACGGGCCGUGAGAGCGGUAGCCCGGAGAUGGUACUGAGACAAGGACCCAAGGCCUACGGGGCGCAGCAGUCGCGAAAACUCCGCAAUGCACGAAAGUGUGACGGGGCUACCCCGAGUGCCACCCGCUGAGGGUGGCUUUUCUUUGGUAUAAUUAGCCAUUGGAAUAAGGAGAGGGCAAGACUGGUGUCAGCCGCCGCGGUAAUACCAGCUCUCCGAGUGGUAGGGAUGAUUAUUGGGCUUAAAGCGUCCGUAGCCGGCUUAGCAAGUUUCCUGUUAAACUCAGCGACUCAAUCGUUGACCCGCGGGAAAUACUACUAGGCUAGGAGGCGGGAGAGGUCGACGGUACUUCUGGGGUAGGGGUGAAAUCCUAUAAUCCCGGGAGGACCACCAGUGGCGAAGGCUGUCGACUAGAACGCGCUCGACGGUGAGGGACGAAAGCUGGGGGAGCGAACCGGAUUAGAUACCCGGGUAGUCCCAGCCGUAAACGAUGCGAGCUAGGUGUUGGGAUGGCUACGUGCCAUUUCAGUGCCGCAGGGAAGCCAUUAAGCUCGCCGCCUGGGGAGUACGGCCGCAAGGCUGAAACUUAAAGGAAUUGGCGGGGGAGCAC